GGCCGCAUCCCGUUGAAGCACCGGUUCCCAUAAGAUCACCGAAGUUAAGCAACGCGAAGGCUGGUUAGUACUUAGAUAGGUGACCACUUGGGAAUACCAGGUGCUGUAUG
Acanthosepion pharaonis is the source of this 110-nucleotide non-coding RNA. The record is from the annotation of a GenBank genome assembly. Lineage: Eukaryota; Metazoa; Mollusca; Cephalopoda; Sepiida; Sepiidae.